This 3167-nucleotide small RNA is filed under the name Pongo abelii (Sumatran orangutan). Its description in RNAcentral is "retained intron". Lineage: Eukaryota; Metazoa; Chordata; Mammalia; Primates; Hominidae. The record is from RNAcentral.
ACUUCCCUGGAGCCGCCCACUCGCCCGUCGGUCGCUAGCUCGCUCGGUGCGCGUCGUCCCGCUCCAUGGCGCUCUUCGUGCGGCUGCUGGCCCUCGCCCUGGCUCUGGCCCUGGGCCCCGCCGCGACCCUGGCGGGUCCCGCCAAGUCGCCCUACCAGCUGGUGCUGCAGCACAGCAGGCUCCGGGGCCGCCAGCACGGCCCCAACGUGUGUGCUGUGCAGAAGGUUAUUGGCACUAAUAGGAAGUACUUCACCAACUGCAAGCAGUGGUACCAAAGGAAAAUCUGUGGCAAAUCAACAGUCAUCAGCUACGAGUGCUGCCCUGGAUAUGAAAAGGUCCCUGGGGAGAAGGGCUGUCCAGCAGCCCUACCACUCUCAAACCUUUACGAGACCCUGGGAGUCGUUGGAUCCACCACCACUCAGCUGUACACGGACCGCACGGAGAAGCUGAGGCCUGAGAUGGAGGGGCCCGGCAGCUUCACCAUCUUCGCCCCUAGCAACGAGGCCUGGGCCUCCUUGCCAGCUGUGAGAUGACCUCCGUCUGCCCGGGGGACUCUUAUGGGGAACUGCCUUACUUCCCCGAGGGGUGGCCAUGAUGAAUGGGAGUCUGCAGUCAUUUCCUACUGUUUUGGGAAGCUUUUUCCUUAACCCCUUAGAAAAGGCUGUGGAACUUGAGCUAAAAUAUGUCUUACCAGGUUGCGUCUAAUGCCCCCUGUGCCCUACUGGGCAGAAAGACUUGGGUGCUUCCUGAGGAGGGAUCCUUGGCAGAAGAGAGGCCUGGGCUCACGGGGGCUGAGAACGUGUUUCCCAGAGUUGCAAGGACCCAUCUCUUAAACACAGAGUCUGCAGCCCCUAACUGACACCCUGUCCUUCCUCCUAGGAAGUGCUGGACUCCCUGGUCAGCAAUGUCAACAUUGAGCUGCUCAAUGCCCUCCGCUACCAUAUGGUGGGCAGGCGAGUCCUGACUGAUGAGCUGAAACAUGGCAUGACCCUCACCUCUAUGUACCAGAAUUCCAACAUCCAGAUCCACCACUAUCCUAAUGGGAUUGUAACUGUGAACUGUGCCCGGCUGCUGAAAGCCGACCACCAUGCAACCAACGGAGUGGUGCACCUCAUCGAUAAGGUCAUCUCCACCAUCACCAACAACAUCCAGCAGAUCAUCGAGAUCGAGGACACCUUUGAGACCCUUCGGGACAGGGGUCUGCAAGAAAAUGAUGUUCCCUCAUAGUUGGCAGCACAUGAACAGCAAUUGAUCCCUUUGCAUCACCUCCUCUUACUGUUUAGAUUUGGCUGCUGUGGCUGCAUCAGGGCUCAACACGAUGCUUGAAGGUAACGGCCAGUACACGCUCUUGGCCCCGACCAAUGAGGCCUUCGAGAAGAUCCCUAGUGAGACUUUGAACCGUAUCCUGGGCGACCCAGAAGCCCUGAGAGACCUGCUGAACAACCACAUCUUGAAGUCAGCUAUGUGUGCCGAAGCCAUCGUUGCGGGGCUGUCUGUGGAGACCCUGGAGGGCACGACACUGGAGGUGGGCUGCAGCGGGGACAUGCUCACUAUCAACGGGAAGGCGAUCAUCUCCAAUAAAGACAUCCUAGCCACCAACGGGGUGAUCCACUACAUUGAUGAGCUACUCAUCCCAGACUCAGCCAAGACGCUAUUUGAAUUGGCUGCAGAGUCUGAUGUGUCCACAGCCAUUGACCUUUUCAGACGAGCCGGCCUCGGCAAUCAUCUCUCUGGAAGUGAGCGGUUGACCCUCCUGGCUCCCCUGAAUUCUGUAUUCAGAGAUGGAACCCCUCCAAUUGAUGCCCACACAAGGAAUUUGCUUCGGAACCACAUAAUUAAAGACCAGCUGGCCUCUAAGUAUCUAUACCAUGGACAGACCCUGGAAACUCUGGGCGGCAAAAAACUGAGAGUUUUUGUUUAUCGUAAUAGCCUGUGCAUUGAGAACAGCUGCAUCGCGGCCCACGACAAGAGGGGGAGGUACGGGACCCUGUUCACGAUGGACCGGGUGCUGACCCCCCCAAUGGGGACUGUCAUGGAUGUCCUGAAGGGAGACAAUCGCUUUAGCAUGCUGGUAGCUGCCAUCCAGUCUGCAGGACUGACGGAGACCCUCAACCGGGAAGGAGUCUACACAGUCUUCGCUCCCACAAAUGAAGCCUUCCGAGCCCUGCCACCAAGAGAACGGAGCAGACUCUUGGGAGAUGCCAAGGAACUUGCCAACAUCCUGAAAUACCACAUUGGUGAUGAAAUCCUGGUUAGUGGAGGCAUUGGGGCCCUGGUGCGGCUAAAGUCUCUCCAAGGUGACAAGCUGGAAGUCAGCUUGAAAAACAAUGUGGUGAGUGUCAACAAGGAGCCUGUUGCCGAGCCUGACAUCAUGGCCACAAAUGGCGUGGUCCAUGUCAUCACCAAUGUUCUGCAGCCUCCAGCCAACAGACCUCAGGAAAGAGGGGAUGAACUUGCAGACUCUGCGCUUGAAAUCUUCAAACAAGCAUCAGCGUUUUCCAGGGCUUCCCAGAGGUCUGUGCGACUAGCCCCUGUCUAUCAGAAGUUAUUAGAGAGGAUGAAGCAUUAGCAUGAAGGACUACAGGAGGGAUGCACCACGGCAGCUCCCCGCCAAUUUCUCUCAGAUUUCCACAGAGACUGUUUGAAUGUUUUGAAAACCAAGUAUCACACUUCAAUGUACAUGGGCCGCACCAUAAUGAGAUGUGAGCCUUGUACAGGUGGGGGAGGAGGGAGAGAGAUGUACUUUUUAAAUCGUGUUCCCCCUAAACAUGGCUGUUAACCCACUGCAUGCAGAAACUUGGAUGUCACUGCCUGACAUUCGCUUCCAGGGAGGACCUAUCCCAAAUGUGGAAUUGACUGCCUAUGCCAAGUCCCUGGAAAAGGAGCUUCAGUAUUGUGGGGCUCAUAAAACAUGAAUCAAGCAAUCCAGCCUCAUGGGAAGUCCUGGCACAAUUUUUGUAAAGCCCUUGCACAGCUGGAGAAAUGGCAUCAUUAUAAGCUAUGAGUUGAACUGUUCUGUCAAAUGUGUCUCGCAUCUACACAUGGCUUGGAGGCUUUUAUGGGGCCCUGUCCAGGUAGAAAAGAAAUGGUAUGUAGAGCAUGUAGAGCUCAGAUUUCCCUAUUGUGACGAGCCAUGGUGUGUUUGUAAUAAUAAAACCAAAGAAACG